This 510-nucleotide ribosomal RNA is filed under the name Ptycta diadela. Its description in RNAcentral is "partial 16S ribosomal RNA". The stretch from base 377 to 510 matches the Rfam family "Bacterial large subunit ribosomal RNA", at positions 2473 to 2607 of the family's 2925-position model. The record is from RNAcentral. Lineage: Eukaryota; Metazoa; Arthropoda; Insecta; Psocodea; Psocidae.
AAAACAUGUCUUUUUGAUAAAAAUUUAAAGUCAGGUCUGCUCACUGAAUUAUUUUAAAGAGCCGCAGUAUAUUGACUGUGCAAAGGUAGCAUAAUCAAUAGUUUUUUAAUUGAAAACUAGAAUGAAAGAUUAGACGAGAAAUUAAUUUUCUUUAUUUUAAUAAAUUUAAUUUUAAAUUUAAGUGAAAAUGCUUAAAUAUAAUUAAAAGACGAGAAGACCCUAUAGAUUUUUAUUAUUGAAAUAAAUUUUUAAAUUUAAUUUAACAAAAUAAUUUAAUUGGGGCGAUUUUAUAAUAUAAAUAACUUAAUUUUUUAAAACCAUAAAUAAUUGAAUAUUUGAUCUAAAAUUUUUAAAGAAAAGAUUAAAUUACCUUAGGGAUAACAGCGUAAUUUUAUUUAAGAGUUCAUAUCUAUAAUAAAGUUUGCGACCUCGAUGUUGAAUUAAGAUAAUAUAUUGGAGUAGAAAUUAAUAUAAUUAGUCUGUUCGACUAUUAAAUUCUUACAUGAGCUG